UUCUCACUCAUUCACAGUAAAGAUGACAGCACACGCUCUCAUUAUCUGCUCUCUACUGCUUUUCAUUGCUGAGUGUAAUGGACAGAUCACAGUCACUCAGAGUCCCUCAAUAACAGCUCAACCAGGACAACAAGUUCAAAUAAACUGUAAAACCAGCAGUAAUGUCUACUAUCACAGUAGUUAUGGACACUACUUGAGCUGGUACUUACAGAAACCUGAAGAAGCUCCUAAACUCCUCAUAUAUUUUACAAACCGCCUCCAGACUGGAACUUCAUCUAGAUUCAGUGGCAGUGGAUCUAAUAGUGAUUUCACUCUGACCAUCAGUGGAGUCCAGACUGAAGAUGAAGGACAUUAUUACUGUCAGAGUUUACACCUGAUCAACAGUAAAUGGUGUGUUCACACAUGUGGAAUGAUUGUGUUUCUCUCAGAAUAG
Xyrauchen texanus (razorback sucker) is the source of this 433-nucleotide non-coding RNA. Lineage: Eukaryota; Metazoa; Chordata; Actinopteri; Cypriniformes; Catostomidae. The record is from the annotation of a RefSeq genome assembly.